RNAcentral lists this long non-coding RNA (3538 nucleotides) under Homo sapiens (human). RNAcentral's name for it is "non-protein coding lnc-NMNAT3-9:1". The record is from RNAcentral. Lineage: Eukaryota; Metazoa; Chordata; Mammalia; Primates; Hominidae.
CAUAGGUCCUUACUAGGAGGACAACAUUCAAAACCUCUCCUUCCCAUCCUAACUAGAGCAAGUCCUCAUGGGCCCUGCGAAGGAAGGAAAGGCUCCAGCUGUGGGGCAGGGUUCCGUGCUCUGAGAAAGCUCCCUGGAAGAAGCUGGCCACAGUAAGGACUGGGUGACAUGCUGAUUGGGAGUGCUUGGGGGAGGUGGGAGCUCUUGCGUGUAAUGGAUUGGAUUCACUGUGCUGCAAUCCCCUCCUGCUUAAAAGGAAAUGGCUUAGAACAGGUACCAGAAUUCAAACUGCCUGAGGAACAGAGAUGUUCAAAAGCAUUUCAGGUCAAUUUAACUGCACUUGUACUUCUCCCAAAUCUCUUCUCCACUCCACCCACCUUCACAGGAAGAAAGUGACCCUUUUCCUUAUCUCUUUGUAAAAACAAGGGCAAACAGGAGCAUGGCUCCACUUGUAGCGUGCUUAUGCUUUGGUGGCAAAUUCCUGGGAACCCACUGGCUGAAGCCACCUAGCUGCGCAAUAGGACUGCCAGGGAAUUUCGAGCACACGCCUGGAAUCCAGCUGGCUUGUGUUUAUAAGUAAUGGGCUGCCAGAAGACUUCCUCCUGAAGUACAGCCGUGUGAUUGUGUCCCUGAUGUAGGGCAAAGACCAUUCAUCUGCAAGGAUAUCUCUGGGAAAAAGAUGGAAUUCAGAAAAUGUCCUGACACAUAUUUUUUAACAUCUGGGCUUGUCGCCAGGAAUGUUCACUGCCUCAUCUCACAUUAUUUUUGCUACCAAAUAGGAAGUAAAAUCAAUAAGAAAACGUGUGACCUCCCUUCUGAAAGCGACAUAGAAUAACACACUUUUCGCCCCGAAGAAGACAUUUUUCUUCUCUAAGAGAGACCAAGUAACUUUUUUCUGAGUUGUUUGUGUGUUUUUGCUCCUGUGGGUUUCAUAUUAUAGUUCUGAAAUAAAUAUUUGGUAAUUAAUGAGCAAAAUGUUAAUUCAUUAUUUUUGCUGAAAUACAAUUUUAGUUCCAAAGAACUAAUAAAGACCUAAAGUGAAUUUAAUACUUUUAAGCUUUAAAUUCUAAUAGAUUAAAAUAUUUUGCUGAGAAUAAUUUCAUUCCUACUACUUUUUUUUUUUUUGGCGGCAGAGUUGACAGCAAAUUAGAACUCAAAUGUUAUCAUCGUUUACCAGAAACUAAAUUUUAAAAACUGAAAUUAAAAAACAAAUGAACAAAAUAGGCUGGGUGCAGUGGUUCACGUCUGUAAUCCCAGCACUUUGGAAGGCUGAGGUGGGUGGAUGGCUUGAAGACAGGAGUUUGAGACCAGCCUGGCCAACAUGGUAAAACCCCAUCUCUAUUUAAAAAAACAAAAAUUAACCAGGUGUGAUGGUACACAUCUGUACUCCCGGCUACUCAGGAGGCUGAGGCACGAGAAUUGUUUGAACCUGGAAAGUGGAGGUUGUAGUGAGCAGAGAUCGCAACACUGUACUCCAGCCUGGGUGACAGAGCAAGACUGUCUGAAAAAAAAAAUCAACAAAAUAAACAAAGAGGUAAUGGCUGACAUAUAUAUAUAUACAUAUAUAUAUACACAUAUAUAUACACAUAUACGUAUAUAUACGUAUAUACACGUAUAUACACGUAUACGUGUAUAUACGUGUAUACACGUGUAUACACGUAUAUGUGUAUAUAUACGUAUAUACAUGUAUAUACGUAUAUAUACAUAUAUACAUAUUCAUAUACGUAUAUAUACGUAUAUACAUAUUCAUAUAUGUAUAUAUACGUGUACAUAUAUAUGUAUAUAUACAUAUAUACGUACACGUAUAUAUGUAUAUAUACAUAUAUACGUACACGUAUAUAUGUAUAUAUACAUAUAUACGUACACGUAUAUAUGUAUAUAUAUACACACACAUAUGUGUGUGUAUAUAUAUAUAUAUAUAUUUUUUUUUUUUUGAGACAGAGUCUGGCUCUGUCACCCAGGCUGGAGUUCAGUGGCAUGAUCUCGGCUCCCUGCAAUCUUUCACCUCCUGGGUUCAAGUGAUUCUCCCGCCUCAGCCUCCCAAGUACUGGGACUAUAGGUAUAUGCCACCACGCCUGGCUAAUUUUUGUGUUUUUUGUAGAGAUGGGGUUUCGCCAUGUUGGCCAGGCUGGUCUCGAACUCGUGAUCUCAGGUGAUCCACCUGCCUCAUCCUCCCAAAGUGCUGGGAUUACAGGUGUGAGCCAACAUGCCCAGCCUGACUCAGGUAUAUUUUUAUAUUUCAUCAAAACUAAAGAAAAAUUGCCUAAAUGAGCUUUCUUCUAACUGCUAUGUAUUGUUUAUGCAUAUUGAGAGAACAUGGAAUGAAACAAGAAAGCUUGGAAAAUUAGAAAAGUCAAAUAAUGCUUGAAAGAUUUUUUUUUUAAAAAAAGGUCCACCAAUUACACAAUAUUAGUGAAAGAGUAUUGGUACCCAGGCCAUGAGCAGGUGCUGCACAUGUGAAUCUAUGUGAGGGUGGAAGGAGCAGGAAAUGGGAAGGUGAGGGUCUGAGACAAAGUUCAAGUAACUUGUCCUGGACGCUGACUGAUGUCCAGGAGGGAAUACGAAGUUGCCCAAGACACUGGAUCAAUAAUUAGAAUAAUCAGCCCGGCGCAGUGGCUCACACCUGCAAUCCCAGCACUUUGGGAGGCUGAGGUGGGCAGAUAACAAAGUCGGGAGUUCGAGACCAGCGUGACCAACAAGGUGAAACCCUGUCUCUACUAAAACUACAAAAAUUAGCAGGGUGUGGUGGCAGGCACCUGUAAUCCCAGUGGCUCGGGAGGCUCAGGCAAGAGAACCACUUGAACCCGGGAGGCAGAGGUUGCAGUGAGCCGAGAUCGUGCCACUGCAUUCCAGCCUGGGCCACAGAGUGAGACUCCGUCUCAGAAAAAAAAAAAAAAAAGAAAGAAAGAAAGAAAGAAAGAAAGAACUAGAAUAAUCUAUUCUGCUAUCUUCUCUGGACUACUUCUAACAAUACAGCUUCAUCCACCAAUUAGAGAUAGAAUUUAGUUAACAAAGUCAGUCAAAAAUAUCUCAAUAAAAACGUGUUUGAUGUGUUUCUAGCUUAGUGGCUGGUGUUCGGAAUCCCUUUCAUUUCUCCUCAAUUAUUGUUUCCCUCUCAGUUCUGAGGGCUUGCACAGGUCUGGAAUGGCUCAGUAUUGGUUGGUAACACUCAAACUUAUAUGUGGUUAUAGUUGUCACAGGGGAGGAAUUCUGUCAGGUGGAAGCACUUUAAUAUAACCAUGAGAAGUAUAUUUUCACAACAUCACAUUGAAUUUUGAAAAAAAAAAUUAACUUUCUUUAAAAUUAAAUGGCCCUCAAAAGAUACUCCUCUUACAAAAGGAAGGCUCAGAGUUUACAAUGUGUACAACAUUAAGCAGACCAAACACUAUUGAUUGUGGUAGAAAAAUAAACACACAAGCUGAAUCCUUGGCUCAAUUUGUUGCAGGUCUACUUCCAUAACAAGUCUUAAUGAAAGUGUCUGAGAAACUAAUUUACCUUCUCCACCACCACCAAAUUUGUGCAUGUGAAAAUGAGUUUC